GAAGGUAUAGCUCAAUGGCAGACUGCAUGCCUGGCAUGCAUGAAUGAGGUCCUGGAUUCAAUCCCCAGUACCUCCA
This 76-nucleotide transfer RNA is filed under the name Camelus ferus (Wild Bactrian camel). It matches the Rfam family "tRNA". Rfam says of the family: Transfer RNA (tRNA) molecules are approximately 80 nucleotides in length. Their secondary structure includes four short double-helical elements and three loops (D, anti-codon, and T loops). Further hydrogen bonds mediate the characteristic L-shaped molecular structure. tRNAs have two regions of fundamental functional importance: the anti-codon, which is responsible for specific mRNA codon recognition, and the 3' end, to which the tRNAs corresponding amino acid is attached (by aminoacyl-tRNA synthetases). tRNAs cope with the degeneracy of the genetic code in two manners: having more than one tRNA (with a specific anti-codon) for a particular amino acid; and 'wobble' base-pairing, i.e. permitting non-standard base-pairing at the 3rd anti-codon position. Lineage: Eukaryota; Metazoa; Chordata; Mammalia; Artiodactyla; Camelidae. The record is from Rfam by way of RNAcentral.